ACGAGGGGGGCAAGCGUUGUUCGGAAUUAUUGGGCGUAAAGGGUGCGUAGGCGGUUUGACAAGUCUUAUGUGAAAUCUUCGGGCUCAACCCGAAGUCUGCAUGGGAAACUGUCGGGCUUGAGUAUGGGAGAGGUGAGUGGAAUUUCCGGUGUAGCGGUGAAAUGCGUAGAUAUCGGAAGGAACACCUGUGGCGAAAGCGGCUCACUGGACCAUAACUGACGCUGAUGCACGAAAGCUAGGGGAGCAAACAGGAUUAGAUACCCUGGUAGUCCUAGCCCUAAACGAUGAUUGUUUGAUGUGGGGGGUACCCAAUCCCCCCGUGUCGAAGCUAACGCGAUAAACAAUCCGCCUGGGGAGUACGGUCGCAAGGCUG
RNAcentral lists this ribosomal RNA (373 nucleotides) under uncultured bacterium. RNAcentral describes it as "bacterial SSU rRNA". It matches the Rfam family "Bacterial small subunit ribosomal RNA", at positions 525 to 896 of the family's 1533-position model. The record is from RNAcentral.